CUAAAAUCAUUUCCCUUUUCUUUUCUAGACUUUUCUUUGCUUAAAACCCCAAAAUCUCGUCCCUUUUUUUUCUCAGUCUUUUUGUUGCUUGAAAACCCCAAAAUCCUGCCCCUUGUGCUUUUAUUUUAGCUACUCCUCACAUUGAAGAAAAUAUCAGUCUUUUCUCAGUCUCAAUCGACAUUGUCUUAGGGACUUGGAGGACGAGAAAAGCCAAUUGCAGCACAGCUUGCGGCAACUAUGCAACCAGCCGUGGUUUCCAGAAAGUCAAAGAAGUAAAAAAAAUAUAGAAAGAAAAUAUCAAUUGUCUGCUCGGCUAAAGACAGUUAAUUGAAUCCCUACAAAAGAAGUAUCCGAUAGGCUCGUUUAAAUUGUCUAAUCAAACAACUCUGUUUUAAGCUCUCUUUAAUUGUAUUUGUAAGUAUCUCG
Molecule: long non-coding RNA, 426 nt
Organism: Gossypium raimondii (Peruvian cotton)
Lineage: Eukaryota; Viridiplantae; Streptophyta; Magnoliopsida; Malvales; Malvaceae
Exons: 5
Source: RefSeq, a predicted model, not a curated record